UAAAUAAAAUCUCACUCUAUUUAAACAAUUUUGUGUUGUAAAAAAACCACAAAAACAUACAAUUAAGUACUUGACCUAUAGUAUAGAAACUUGUUUUUGUUGGAGACUAUAUUGACCUCUGGGGUCCAGGUUUUUUGUCUUGUUUAGUUGCUGUCUUAAUAACAUAAUCCCUGAAGUCAUUUUCAAUUAAUCAUAGACAAAGGACAAAUUAUAAAAAACCCAGAAUAACCAAAUCCUUCAUAUUAACUUAUAAUAACUGUUAAAUUUUCCUUCAAAUUAAAUAUAUGUUUCACUCAUCUCCUUCGUUUAGAUAAAUUUUAAAGUGAAACAGAGAAUGGAAGCCAAAUAUUUAAAAUUUAGAUUAAUUGAAAUAGCCUCCCCUCUUAAAAAAAAAUAUAGAACAAAUUUUAACAGAAAAAAGGGGGACGGAAACCUAAAGAUACAGAAUUAAAAUAAAGUGAUAAAAAGAUCCUCCGUCCUUUUCUAAACUUCUUUUUAAAGUUUUAAAUUUGAUAAGUUAGAUGUUCCCUGAAUUUAGAGUAUCCAUGGGAACAUGUCGCAUUUUUACCAGAAAUUAAUAUACCCAUAGGAACAUUACGGUACAUGUUCCUCUCCAAAGUAAUAAAGGUAUCCAUUGGAACAUCACAUGUUCCUCUCCAAAGUAAUAAAGGUAUCCAUUGGAACAUCACAUGUUCCUCUCCAAAGUAAUAAAGGUAUCCAUAGGAACAUCACAUGUUCCUCUCAAAAGUAAUGAAGGUAUCCAUAGGAACAUCACAUGUUCCUCUCCAAAGUAAUGAAGGUAUCCAUAGGAACAUCACAUGUUCCGCUCCAAAGUAAUGAAGGUAUCCAUUGGAACAUCACAUGUUCCUCUCCAAAGUAAUGAAGGUAUCCAUAGGAACAUCACAUGUUCCGCUCCAAAGUAAUGAAGGUAUCCAUAGGAACAUCACAUGUUCCUCUCCAAAGUAAUAAGGGUAUCCAUUGGAACAUCACAUGUUCCUCUCCAAAGUAAUAAAGGUAUCCAUAGGAACAUCACAUGUUCCUCUCCAAAGUAAUGAAGGUAUCCAUAGGAACAUCACAUGUUCCUCUCCAAAGUAAUCAAGGUAUCCAUAGGAACAUCACAUGUUCCUCUCCAAAGUAAUCAAGGUAUCCAUAGGAACAUCACAUGUUCCUCUCCAAAGUAAUAAAGGUAUCCAUAGGAACAUCACAUGUUCCUCUCCAAAGUAAUAAAGGUAUCCAUAGGAACAUCACAUGUUCCUCUCCAAAGUAAUGAAGGUAUCCAUUGGAACAUCACAUGUUCCUCUCCAAAGUAAUGAAGGUAUCCAUUGGAACAUCACAUGUUCCUCUCCAAAGUAAUGAAGGUAUCCAUAGGAACAUCACAUGUUCCUCUCCAAAGUAAUGAAGGUAUCCAUAGGAACAUCACAUGUUCCUCUCCAAAGUAAUCAAGGUAUCCAUAGAAACAUCACAUGUUCCUCUCCAAAGUAAUAAAGGUAUCCAUAGGAACAUCACAUGUUCCUCUCCAAAGUAAUGAAGGUAUCCAUAGGAACAAUACAUGUUCCUCUCCAAAGUAAUGAAGGUAUCCAUAGGAACAUCACAUGUUCCUCUCCAAAGUAAUGAAGGUAUCCAUAGGAACAUCACAUGUUCCUCUCCAAAGUAAUAAAGGUAUCCAUAGGAACAUCACAUGUUCCUCUCCAAAGUAAUAAAGGUAUCCAUAGGAACAUCACAUGUUCCUCUCCAAAGUAAUAAAGGUAUCCAUAGGAACAUCCUAUGUGUCUUACCAAUGUAAAUAAGGUAUCCAUAGGAACAUGGGAGCCUCGGUGGCCAAGUGGUCUAAGUAGCCAGUCAACACUGAGGUUGUGAAUUCAAACCCCGCUCGUGCGGUUGCACAUGACUCCAAUCUUAAUUGACUUAGGGUUGUCAGUUUUCCUAUUGAAGGUCAGUGGUUUUCUCCAGGCACUCUGGCUUCCUCCACCAAUACAAACUGGCCGCCAUGAGAUAGCCAAAGUAGUGCUUAAAAGUGGCGUUAAAACACCAAAAAAUCAAAUUCAAAUCCAUAGGUGCACUGCAUGCUCCAAAUUUACUGGUAUCUGAUAUCCAUUGGAAUCCAAAUUUAGUUGUUCAGUUUGUAUUGAUGACAGAAUUGGCUUUACAAUGAACUUUGAACUCAAAGAAAUGGAUACACAUGUUUCAGAAAAGUAAGUUUGGUACCUAUAUCUCUUUUCACACUUUUGUUGUUUUUAAAUAAUUUGUAAAUUUUAUUGUAAAUGUAACAUACUUAAGUUGUCAAAUUUUUGUGUAAAAAGGGGAAUGACCAUUUCAAAACUGUUUUUCAAUAUUUUUGUUAAAGAUUUUCAGAAGGAAACAGAAAAAUUAUUUAUAAAAAUGUGGAUAGUGUCAAAUGUGUAUAUAGUUUUAAGAAAAAUAGAAAAAAAACAAAAAAAAGCAUGGGUGAUGGUUUUUAAUGAUUUUAAGAAAAAUAGAAAAAAAAAAAAAAAAAAAUAUGCAUGGGUGAUGGUUUUUGUCGAGCCUGCGACUUUUGUCGCAGAAAGCUCGACAUAGGGAUAGCGAUCCGGCGGCGGCGGCGGCUACGGCGGCGGCGGCGGCGUUAGCUAACUUCUUAAAAGCUUUAUAUUUUAGAAGAUGGAAGACCUGGAUGCUUCAUACUUUGUAUAUGGAUGCCUCAUGUUACGAAGUUUCCGUCAGUCACAUGUCCAAUGUCCUUGACCUCAUUUUCAUGGUUCAGUGACUACUUGAAAAAAAAGUUCAGAUUUUUUGUAAUGUUAAAUUCUCUCUUAUUAUAAGUAAUAGGAUAACUAUAUUUGGUAUGUGCGUACCUUGCAAGGUCCUCAUGCCCGUCAGACAGUUUUCACUUGACCUCGACCUCAUUUCAUGGAUCAGUGAACAAGGUUAAGUUUUGGUGGUCAAGUCCAUAUCUCAGAUACUAUAAGCAAUAGGUCUAGUAUAUUCGGUGUAUGGAAGGACUGUAAGGUGUACAUGUCCAACUGGCAGGUGUCAUCUGACCUUGACCUCAUUUUCAUGGUUCAGUGGUUACAGUUAAGUUUUUGUGUUUUGGUCUGUUUUUCUUAUACUGUAUGCAAUAGGUCUACUAUAUUUGGUGUAUGGAAUGAUUGUAAGGUGUACAUGUCUAGCUGGCAGGUGUCAUCUGACCUUGACCUCAUUUUCAUGGUUCAGUGGUCAAAGUUAAGUUUUUGAGUUUUGGUCUUUUUUUCUAAUACUGCAUGCAAUAGGUCAGCUAUAUUUGGUGUAUGGAAUGAUUGUAAGGUGUACAUGUCUAGCUGGCAGGUGUCAUCUUACCUUGACCUCAUUUUCAUGGUUCAGUGGUCAAAGUUAAGUUUUUGAGUUUUGGUCUUUUUUUCUAAUACUAUAUGCAAUAGUUCAACUAUAUUUGGUGUAUGGAAAUAUUUUAUGAUCUAUAUGUCAGUCACGCAGGUUUUAUUUGACCUUGACCUCAUUUUCAAGGUUCAUUGCUCAGUGUUAAGUUUUUGUGUUUUCGUCUGUUUUUCUUAAACUAUAAGCAAUAGGUCAACUAUAUUUGUUGUAUGGAAGAAUUGUUAGCUGUACUUGCCUAACUAGCAUGGUUCAUCUGACCUUGACCUCAUUUUCAUGGUUCAUUGGUCAAUGUUUAGUUUACUUGGUUAAUGUUAAGUUUAUGUGACAGUUGUAAUAAAGCUUUAUAUUUAGGACUAUCAACAUAAUAUCAAUGAUUAGUAAAGAAGGCGAGACAUUUCAGCGUGUGCACUCUUGUUAAUGAUUUUAAGAAAAAUAGAAAAAAAAAAAAAAAAAAAAAUAUGCAUGGGUGAUGGUUUUUAAUGAUUUUAAGAAAAAUAGUAAAAAAGAAAAAAGAAAAAAAAAAAAAAAUGCAUGGGUGAUGGUUUUUAAUGAUUUUAAGAAAAAUAGAAAAAAAAAAAAAAAAAAAUAUAUGCAUGGGUGAUGGUUUUUAAUGAUUUUAAGAAAAAUAGUAAAAAAAAAAAAAAAGAAAAAAAAAAAAA
Molecule: long non-coding RNA, 4007 nt
Organism: Mytilus californianus (California mussel)
Lineage: Eukaryota; Metazoa; Mollusca; Bivalvia; Mytilida; Mytilidae
Exons: 8
Source: RefSeq, a predicted model, not a curated record